This 339-nucleotide ribosomal RNA is filed under the name Triticum aestivum (bread wheat). RNAcentral describes it as "partial small subunit ribosomal RNA". The record is from RNAcentral. Lineage: Eukaryota; Viridiplantae; Streptophyta; Magnoliopsida; Poales; Poaceae.
AUGGCACUAGGGACUGACCUCUGCCCUAAUAAUUACUGGCAAUACUUCUCCUGGUGUCAUACUUUCCUUCCCUAUGGGAAGAAAUACUAUACUGUUGGCCUCGCGGCUGUUUGCUGGGCUAUCUGGCUGGCUCGAAAUCGAGCCACAUUUGAGAAAAAGCAGAUCAAGACGCUGUUUGAGAUUGUGUUUUCCAUGUGUUCCUUUUUGAUAUAUUGGGCAGGUCUUCAGCAAGGCGAUGGAGUCAAGGAGCUGCGCAGCGGAGCGGCCAUGGUCAGGUCUAGCACUGUGAGCAUGAUGAAGAUGUGCGAGGCGGCAAGAAGACCGAUCGAGGGAGAAUGA